CCUACGGGUGGCAGCAGUGAGGAAUAUUGGUCAAUGGACGAGAGUCUGAACCAGCCAAGUAGCGUGAAGGAUGACUGCCCUAUGGGUUGUAAACUUCUUUUAUAUGGGAAUAAAAUGUUCCACGUGUGGGAUUUUGUAUGUACCAUAUGAAUAAGGAUCGGCUAACUCCGUGCCAGCAGCCGCGGUAAUACGGAGGAUCCGGGCGUUAUCCGGAUUUAUUGGGUUUAAAGGGAUCGUAGGUGGAUUGUUAAGUCAGUUGUGAAAGUUUGCGGCUCAACCGUAAAAUUGCAGUUGAAACUGGCAGUCUUGAGUACAGUAGAGGUGGGCGGAAUUCGUGGUGUAGCGGUGAAAUGCUUAGAUAUCACGAAGAACUCCGAUUGCGAAGGCAGUUCACUGGACUGCAACUGACACUGAGGCUCGAAAGUGUGGGUAUCAAACAGGAUUAGAUACCCUGGUAGUC
RNAcentral lists this ribosomal RNA (460 nucleotides) under uncultured bacterium. RNAcentral's name for it is "partial 16S ribosomal RNA". It matches the Rfam family "Bacterial small subunit ribosomal RNA", at positions 338 to 795 of the family's 1533-position model. The record is from RNAcentral.